GACGAACGCUGUCGGCGUGCUUAACACAUGCAAGUCGUACGGUAAGGCCCUUUCGGGGGUACACGAGUGGCGAACGGGUGAGUAACACGUGAGUAACCUGCCCACAACUUUGGGAUAACGCUAGGAAACUGGUGCUAAUACUGGAUAUGUGCUCCUGCUGCAUGGUGGGGGUUGGAAAGCUCCGGCGGUUGUGGAUGGACUCGCGGCCUAUCAGCUUGUUGGUGGGGUAGUGGCCUACCAAGGCGGCGACGGGUAGCCGGCCUGAGAGGGUGACCGGCCACAUUGGGACUGAGAUACGGCCCAGACUCCUACGGGAGGCAGCAGUGGGGAAUAUUGCACAAUGGGCGCAAGCCUGAUGCAGCAACGCCGCGUGCGGGAUGACGGCCUUCGGGUUGUAAACCGCUUUCAGCAGGGACGAAGCUUUUUGUGACGGUACCUGCAGAAGAAGCACCGGCUAACUACGU
This 464-nucleotide ribosomal RNA is filed under the name uncultured bacterium. RNAcentral's name for it is "partial 16S ribosomal RNA". It matches the Rfam family "Bacterial small subunit ribosomal RNA", at positions 28 to 506 of the family's 1533-position model. The record is from RNAcentral.